Molecule: ribosomal RNA, 253 nt
Filed under: uncultured bacterium
Lineage: Bacteria
Description: partial 16S ribosomal RNA
Rfam family: Bacterial small subunit ribosomal RNA
Source: RNAcentral
UACAGAGGGGGCAAGCGUUAUUCGGAAUUAUUGGGCGUAAAGGGCUCGUAGGCGGUCCAUCGCGUCGGGUGUGAAAAGCUGGGGCUCAACCCCAGUCCUGCUUUCGAUACGGGUGGACUAGAGGUAGGCAGGGGAGAACGGAAUUCCUGGUGUAGCGGUGAAAUGCGCAGAUAUCAGGAGGAACACCGAUGGCGAAGGCUGUUCUCUGGGUCUUACCUGACGCUGAGGAGCGAAAGCGUGGGGAGCGAACAGG